This 253-nucleotide ribosomal RNA is filed under the name uncultured bacterium. RNAcentral's name for it is "partial 16S ribosomal RNA". It matches the Rfam family "Bacterial small subunit ribosomal RNA", at positions 524 to 776 of the family's 1533-position model. The record is from RNAcentral.
UACGAAGGGGGCUAGCGUUGUUCGGAUUUACUGGGCGUAAAGGGCUCGUAGGCGGCCAACUAAGUCAGACGUGAAAUCCCUCGGCUUAACCGGGGAACUGCAUCUGAUACUGGAUGGCUUGAGUUCGGGAGAGGGAUGCGGAAUUCCAGGUGUAGCGGUGAAAUGCGUAGAUAUCUGGAGGAACACCGGUGGCGAAAGCGGCGCGCUGGAUCUCUACUGACGCUGAGGCGCGAAAGCCAGGGGAGCAAACAGG